RNAcentral lists this ribosomal RNA (624 nucleotides) under Triticum aestivum (bread wheat). RNAcentral's name for it is "partial small subunit ribosomal RNA". Lineage: Eukaryota; Viridiplantae; Streptophyta; Magnoliopsida; Poales; Poaceae. The record is from RNAcentral.
GAGUGGAAAGGUCUCGGGGACAUAGCGAUAGUAUGGCUAACCAAGCUUUUCAACCUCAUCUUUCGGGCAAACAAGAUGCCAGAAGAAUGGAGACGGACUAUAUUAGUACCAAUCUUCAAGAACAAGGGGGAUGUUCAGAGUUGUUCUAAUUACCGUGGAAUUAAGCUGAUGAGCCAUACAAUGAAGCUAUGGGAGAGAGUCAUUGAGCACCGCUUAAGAAGAAUGACAAGCGUGACCAAAAAUCAGUUUGGUUUCAUGCCUAGGAGGUCGACCAUGGAAGCCAUUUUCUUGGUACGACAACUUAUGGAGAGAGAUAGGGAGCAAACGAAGGACUUGCAUAUGGUGUUCAUUGACUUGGAGAAGGCCUAUGAUAAGAUACCGCGGAAUGUCAUGUGGUGGGCCUUGGAGAAACACAAAGUCCCAACAAAGUACAUUACCCUCAUCAAGGACAUGUACGAUAAUGUUGUGACAAGUGUUCGAACAAGUGAUGUCGACACUGAUGACUUCCCGAUUAAGAUAGGACUGCAUCAGGGGUCAGCUUUGAGCCCUUAUCUUUUUGCAUUGGUGAUGGAUGAGGUCACAAGGGAUAUACAAGGAGAUAUCGCAUGGUGUAUGCUCUUUGCG